This is a non-coding RNA of Podarcis lilfordi (Lilford's wall lizard), 5655 nucleotides long. NCBI's taxonomy places the organism in Eukaryota, Metazoa, Chordata, Lepidosauria, Squamata, Lacertidae. The record is from the annotation of a GenBank genome assembly.
GUUACACGGAUAAAAUAAAUGAAAGGGGUGUAGGGUACAUCUGUAUUAAGUGUAAGCAAAUACUUAAAACAUUGGCGGGGGGUGGGGGUAGAGUGGUCCAUCACAUUAACUAGUUAGAUGCAGCAUGAUGCUAAAUGCCGGGUGGUGUUGUUGUUUUUUUUUAAAAAAGAAAACAAAAUAAAAGCAUAUGCAUAGCAUUUAAUGCCAGUAGGCUACACAAGCAGACUGGUAUAGUUUUUUUAGGACUGCAGUUUUAUUUAAGAAUGAUAUGCACAUUGGGAGAUUGGUGCUGGAUCAAUCACACAAUGUCUUAUUUUUUUAUUUCGGUAACCUCCUAUUCUAAAUAUAUCUUAUUAAAAAGUUUUAAGCAUCAGAAGAACUGGCAAUUGAUCUGCAUGCAAAUCACGUUGAAAAGUAAUUUCAAGUUGUAUAUUGAAAAAUGUCCAAGUGAACAAGUGCCCAAACUGUAUUUGCAAAGUAGCAUAAUUUGCCAAAAUAUGCCUUAUUGUUCUGCAUGCUGUUUUCAGGAAACCCCUCAAAUACUCACACUUUUGACCCCAUUGUGAAGGCCAUAAGUAACAAUUCAAUAACUUUCACACACAUGCAAAAUCAGUCGCUGACAUCGUAGAACAUAGUAGCCAGCUGCUAAAUCAGUCACCUGAUAGCGGUUAGUGGCAAAUAGUUUACAUCAUUUAUGAUAUACAGAAUAUUUUCUAUCUGUAUUAGGGUGGUUUGCAAACAAACAAAUCUAUAUGUUAAUGGGGAGCCCCUAGCUGGACUAAUUUCCAAGAUUUUCUUCCGUUCAGUGCUUUACGCAUCUUAUUUCUCCUAGACCUGCCAUUUCCUUAUCAGAACACUUCCUGAUCUUGUUUACUGGAAACUUAUUCUCUUAGUUGAAGGAAGACGCGAGAUAAGCAGCUGAAGAUAUCAGCAAAGUCAAGGCUAUACAACUCAAGUAGGAAGACUAAAAUGCAACUGCAGCUGCCCACAGUUUGUAGCUAUAUUUGCAAGUGUAAGGUUGUGAUUACUAGAUUAAACUGUAGUUAACCAUCCGGGGCAGUAUUGCUCUCUGGGGUUGUUCUGAUAAGUAUGGCCAUUGCAAGCUUAUCCAUGUGGGUCACUAUACAGGUGCCAGAAUCUGCUGCAUGCACAGAGUGGCCAGACACAGCUCUUAUGUGUGUAUCCCCUUUGUGCAAUCAUAGCAUGCUCCAACAACGUUAAAGAUAACAGGGAAAUCCUUGCCCCAUAUAGCUCCAUGAGGCCAAGGGGGACGAAUCGAACUUAAGCAAACAGUGAAAUAUCUCAAGCCCUAUAAAUUCCAAUGGGCUUUUAAUGCCCAUAAAUAAUUAUGGAUUGCCCCCAUGCUGUAGUCAUUCUUUCUAAUUGCUAAAUGCAAUACUGCCAUCUUGAAUUUAAUUCAAAAGUAAAAAUGCAUAGCCUAGCCUUGCGAUGUGAAUUGUCGUAAUCUCUUUAAAAAAGGAACAAGUUCAGAUGACUCUAACAUGUUGACAUGUUGGAUUUGAUACAAAAUGUGUUGCAGUUUUCAUCCACAUUUUCAAAUUAGAAUCCAGUUUUUUGCCGUCGUCAUGAGACUGGGACUGCUGAGACCUUGGAUGGAGGUGGUGAAGAUUAUGACUUUGUGGGUCUUCCAUUAUUGAACAUUCUUUCUAUUGCAUAAGAACAUCCUGAAUGGCAAUCCUAAAACUUGACUCAUUUUUUUUAAGGUAUCAGGGCUGAAAAAUGCAUAGUUGAUGAUGGUAUAUUUCUGUGCACUGAUCUUCUCCCCACCCCCCACCCCCAAAUCUAUAGCUAUGCAGUCAGCAGUGAAGCUAAUCUGCAAACUAAGGAGAUUUGUUAAAUAUUGCUCAAAAGGCACGUUUCCAGGUUGUUAGGUGUCUAUUAACAAUUUGUGCCUGUGAUUUCCUCCCAUCACUUUUUUGUGUUCGGUUUUCUUCUUUUCCCUCUCUUCCUCUCCCACUCCCCAUGAGUCUUCUCCUCUGUGUUUGCUACAAGCUUCUCUUUCAUACAUUUCGACGGGAUACCAAUGACCUCCAGUUGUAUUCUAGAAAGGGUAGCAUUGUCAGGAGAAACAGUAACUUCACUGAUAAUGCCUUUGAUAUAAAUGAUCCAUAGUAGGAGGAGAAUACACAUUAAAACGCGAUUACAGAGGAACUUGCUAUGUACUAUCAAUUCCCAACAUAAGAAGAUUACGGUUUUCCUUUCGCAAAUCAAAUUACUUUGAGCCUUUGUGCUACCUCUGUUAAAAUAUCGUUUGUGAAGCUCACAUUUUACGUGACGCUGCUUGUUUUAUUUGUUUCUGAGACACAGAUUGUUGAAAAGAAAAUAAUAUAAAAAUGAAUUCAGUCAUUCUGUCCCAUUCCAUUCCAUUUGUUCAGGUAAUGUGGGUGCUGGGAGAUCCUCUCUCUCUCUGUGUGUGUGUGUCUACAUGUACAGUCAUACCUCUAGUUGCGUUAGGUUCAAGUUGCGUUUUUUCUGGAUUCGAACAUGGCAAACCUGGAAGUGUUUACUUCCGGGUUCGCUGCUUCACGCAUGCGCAGGAGCGAUCUGUCGCGUCAUGCGCACACACAGAAGCGGCGCUCUACUUACGGACUUUUCAGGGUGCGAACAGUAUCCCGGAACGGAUCGCGUCCAUAAGUAGAGGUACCACUGUACAUCCUUAUCCAUUUACUUUGAUGGAGGAAACAGCUCUAUGCAUAAAGUAGCAAAGGUUUCCGAGGUGACUUCCUGGGUCAGCAAAGAGAAGCACUCCCCACCCCAAGGCCAAUACAAUUAGUAUUCACAGCAGCUGUGAUAUAGUUUACGAAGUUGAGAAAUUUGAUUUUUCACAACUCACAUGAGCACAGAUGGAGAACCCAUGUCUACAACAUAGAGAAAUAUUUCCGUAGCGUUGUUUUCAUCUUGGCACUCUCUUUUUUUGCUAGCACAAGCCACCCACGUUUCUUCACUAUGCAUUUAGCAAUAAAUUUGCACAAACCAACGGAACAUGAAAAUACUGGGCUGUAUCCAACACUGGAACUGCUUGGAGCAGACUCCCUGAAAUUAAUGAGCAUGACUAACCUAGAUCCAUUAAUUUCAUUGGGCCUACUCUGAGUAGAGAUAGUAUUCGCGGCAACCCUUUAUUGCACGGGUGAUAUUUUCCCCUGUGUCUUAAGACUUUUCCCCAGUGCUCUUCCAAACAACUCUUGAGAAGUCAUCAAAUAGCAUCACAACGGGUAAAUUUACUCUCAGAUCUAUUGACAUAGCAUCAACAGGUUCCUGAGAGAAUAAGCCAUGUAAGUCACAUUGGAGCCAGCAGAAGGUAUCUGCAGGGGAUAAUCAAAGGAGAGCGAGCCUCCUUCCUUAUCCACACCAAUUUUGCCUUUCAAAUGACACCUGCCCCUGCACAAGCAUGUUUGGAAAGACCCCUAUGGUUGAAGCAAUGCAUUGCUAUAUCCUAAGCUCCAUUCUUCUUCCUUGUUCUCUUACCAUCUUCUUUCAUAUUAUAAUGUCAUAUAGCAUUCUAGUUUGGUCUCUCUCUCUCUCUCUCUCUUAUUUUAACUACACAGUCCAGUGCAUGGUUACUCAGAAGUAAGCUGUGUGUAAUGGGAUCUACUCCCAGGUAGUCGUGUUUACAAUUGCAAUGUAUGUGUGCUUUUAUUUAUGUGUACAGUGGUACCUCGGGUUACAUACACUUCAGGUUACAUACGCUUCAGGUUGCACACUCCACUAACCCAGAAAUAGUGCUUCAGGUUAAGAACUUUGCUUCAGGAUAAGAACAGAAAUUGGGCUCCGGUGGCGUGGCUGCAGCAGGAGGCCCCAUUAGCUAAAGUGGUGCUUCAGGUGAAGAACAGUUUCAGGUUAAGUACGGACCUCCGGAACGAAUUAAGUACUUGACCUGAGGUACCAGUACAGUGGUACCUUGGUUUACGAACUUAAUCCGUUCUGGAAGUCCAUUUCUUAAACCAAAUCCGUUCCUAAACCUUUCCCUAAUGAGGCCUCCCACCGCCGGUGCCCUUCCACCGUUUGGCUUCCGUUCGUAGACCGAGGUAAAGUUCACUAACUGGAACACUCCAGUUUUUGGGAGUUUGUAUACUGAAUAGUUUGUAAACAGGGCUAUUCUGAAACCAAGGUACCACUGUAUGUGUAAAAGAUAGGAGGUAGUUGAAUAAAUCGGGGAGCUUUUUCUCUCUCUCUCUCUCUCACACACACACACACACACAGCCAAGUAAUAUUAUUGUCAAUGGUCCUUAAAAUUACCAGCCUGGAAAUGUUAUGGACUUCUAGAGUAACGGAAAAUAGAGAUGAAAUUGUUUUAUUUAGAAGCCGCAUUAUAUAAGUCUGGCUGUACUAAAGUGUUUCUUGGAAAUAGAGAAGAGCGUUCAGCAAUGUUUGCCUCAAAAUCAAUACAAUGUAGGCGUUUAGUGGAUCUGAAAACACCUAUAACAACAAAGACAUACACUGUAACGGAAAACGUUAGCAAGCCCUACUGAUUUAUUUCUGUUAUUACUGGGUUCUUUCCCAAAAUUCCCAGUGCUCUGGUUCCUUUCUGACACAAGCCAUGUGAGGAUAGAAAAGUAGAGAAUUCUCUGUUGUUUUGCAGUUUUGCAUAUGUAUAAAUAAAAGCAGCUCCCACCUUACUUUCAGUGUCUUUCGUCUCAGUGUUGCCCUUGUAGAACACUCUAUAGAGUGGGGGCAAAACUAGAAUUAGUCAGUUCUGCCUGUCACUGGCUUUGGCGCCACCUACUGUUCAGCUCCCUACCUUCCUCCCUACCAACCCCAAUGAAUGAAGGAGUCCGAAGGGAAAAUAGCAAAAUAAAAGAUUUUCUUUCUAGAUAACCUGCAACUAAAAAAACAAAACAAACCCACCAAGCAGAUGUCAAGGCAAGAAACAACUAUUUUACUUUUAAAAGACAACUGAAGGUGGCCCUGUUUAGGGAAGUUUUUAAUGUCUGAUACUGUAUUGUUUUUAAUAUCCGGUUGGAAGCCACCCAGAGUGGCUGGGGAAACCCAGCCACAUGGGUGGGGUAUAAAUAAAUAAUUAUUAUUAUUUCCGUUCAGAGCUAUCCUAGGAAAUCAGUUGGAAACUGUCAAGUCAGCUCAGAGCUGGAACAGAGCUGAGAGGGGAGAAAACCUGUCAUAUAUUCUUAACUCAAGAAGACUCUAAAAUGGGGUGUGGACAUAGAGGAAAGGGCAUGGAUCCAUUGCUUUUAAAUAUAAAUUGCUGUAAGCUGCAUAAAUAAUUGCAUGAUUAACUCAAUUUUGAAUAGGUUGAUAAAGGAGGUUUCUAGUGACUUGGAAAGAUGGGCACAAUUUAAAUGUAAUAUUUGGGGUAAGGGCAAUAUUAUGGCAUGGAUAAUGUAUAUAUUCUUUGUGGUAUUUAUAUUCGCCUUGUAUAGUUUUAAAAGAAUAAUGGGAUAUUUAAGAAAUUUGUUUGGGAUAAUUCUCUACCUUGUUUUUCACUUUAGAAAUUGCAGCUACCAAUAUCAGAAGGCUUUAAAAAAAUGUUCCAGUUAUUAGUUUAUACAAUAGGGCAUAUUUAUUAGCACGUAUAAACAAUUGUCAAGUUUCCCUUUGUAUUAAUACCCCAGCUAGGGUACUUUUGGAGGUGGCUUUUUAACACACCUAUUUGGAUAACUAGUGCUGGGAUCUGCAUAU